CUGAAUGUCGGCCAUUUGCUUUCGUAACUCAGAAUCCAUUCAAGAUUCUUUGAUUAUUCUUUUGCCAAUCACUGGCUCUUCUAGGGCCACUAUAUUUGGCCUCAUCUGUUUAAACAUCUCAGUGAGUGCGUCCACUGAGAACGGUUCUUCACUUUGCGCGACAACCUGAGUUUCUUCUCCGUCUUGUACUACCCUGAUAGGUCCAUAGUUUCCUUCGUACAUGAACUUUUCCACUGAGUUU
Molecule: long non-coding RNA, 241 nt
Filed under: Olea europaea (common olive)
Lineage: Eukaryota; Viridiplantae; Streptophyta; Magnoliopsida; Lamiales; Oleaceae
Description: long non-coding RNA (OEUR_LNC005128)
Source: RNAcentral